Molecule: ribosomal RNA, 818 nt
Filed under: uncultured Pseudomonadota bacterium
Lineage: Bacteria; Pseudomonadati; Pseudomonadota
Description: bacterial SSU rRNA
Rfam family: Bacterial small subunit ribosomal RNA
Source: RNAcentral
UUCCCUGUAGCAAUACAGGGGAUGGGCGCACGGCGCACGGGUGAGUAACACGUGGGCAACCUGCCCUCCAAUGGGGGAUACCCCCGCGAAAGCGGGACUAAUACCGCAUGACAUUCCGAUGGCUUCGGCUGUUGGAUUCAAAGCCCGCAAGGGCGUUGGAGGAGGGGCCCGCGCCCGAUUAGCUUGUUGGCGAGGUAACGGCUCACCAAGGCUAUGAUCGGUAGCUGGUCUGAGAGGAUGGCCAGCCACACUGGAACUGAGACACGGUCCAGACUCCUACGGGAGGCAGCAGUGGGGAAUAUUGCGCAAUGGGCGAAAGCCUGACGCAGCGACGCCGCGUGGGGGAUGAAGCUUUUCGGAGUGUAAACCCCUUUCGACCCGGACGAAACACCCGCAAGGGUUUGACGGUACGGGUAUAAGAAGCCCCGGCUAACUACGUGCCAGCAGCCGCGGUAAUACGUAGGGGGCCAGCGUUGCUCGGAAUUACUGGGCGUAAAGGGUUCGUAGGCGGUGCGGUGUGUCGGGAGUGAAAUCUCUGGGCUUAACCCAGAGGCUGCUUCCGAAACUGCCGUGCUCGAGUGCGGGAGAGGCCAGUGGAAUUGCAGGUGUAGCGGUGAAAUGCGUAGAUAUCUGCAGGAACACCCGUGGCGAAGGCGGCUGGCUGGACCGCAACUGACGCUGAGGAACAAAAGCUAGGGGAGCAAACAGGAUUAGAUACCCUGGUAGUCCUAGCCCUAAACGAUCAGGACUUGGGGUGCAUCCCGUUGGGGGUGCGUCCCGUAGCUAACGCGUUAAGUCCUGCGCCUGGGGAGUACGGU